GUACACAAAAAUGCACAUAUUGUGAGCUCGAUGAGUAGGGCGGGACACGUGGUAUCCUGUCUGAAUAUGGGGGGACCAUCCUCCAAGGCUAAAUACUCCUGACUGACCGAUAGUGAACCAGUACCGUGAGGGAAAGGCGAAAAGAACCCCGGCGAGGGGAGUGAAAAAGAACCUGAAACCGUGUACGUACAAGCAGUGGGAGCCUCUUUAUGGGGUGACUGCGUACCUUUUGUAUAAUGGGUCAGCGACUUAUAUUCUGUAGCAAGGUUAACCGAAUAGGGGAGCCGAAGGGAAACCGAGUCUUAACUGGGCGUUAAGUUGCAGGGUAUAGACCCGAAACCCGGUGAUCUAGCCAUGGGCAGGUUGAAGGUUGGGUAACACUAACUGGAGGACCGAACCGACUAAUGUUGAAAAAUUAGCGGAUGACUUGUGGCUGGGGGUGAAAGGCCAAUCAAACCGGGAGAUAGCUGGUUCUCCCCGAAAGCUAUUUAGGUAGCGCCUCGUGAAUUCAUCUCCGGGGGUAGAGCACUGUUUCGGCAAGGGGGUCAUCCCGACUUACCAACCCGAUGCAAACUGCGAAUACCGGAGAAUGUUAUCACGGGAGACACACGGCGGGUGCUAACGUCCGUCGUGAAGAGGGAAACAACCCAGACCGCCAGCUAAGGUCCCAAAGUCAUGGUUAAGUGGGAAACGAUGUGGGAAGGCCCAGACAGCCAGGAUGUUGGCUUAGAAGCAGCCAUCAUUUAAAGAAAGCGUAAUAGCUCACUGGUCGAGUCGGCCUGCGCGGAAGAUGUAACGGGGCUAAACCAUGCACCGAAGCUGCGGCAGCGACACUAUGUGUUGUUGGGUAGGGGAGCGUUCUGUAAGCCUGUGAAGGUGGCCUGUGAGGGUUGCUGGAGGUAUCAGAAGUGCGAAUGCUGACAUAAGUAACGAUAAAGCGGGUGAAAAGCCCGCUCGCCGGAAGACCAAGGGUUCCUGUCCAACGUUAAUCGGGGCAGGGUGAGUCGACCCCUAAGGCGAGGCCGAAAGGCGUAGUCGAUGGGAAACAGGUUAAUAUUCCUGUACUUGGUGUUACUGCGAAGGGGGGACGGAGAAGGCUAUGUUGGCCGGGCGACGGUUGUCCCGGUUUAAGCGUGUAGGCUGGUUUUCCAGGCAAAUCCGGAAAACCAAGGCUGAGGCGUGAUGACGAGGCACUACGGUGCUGAAGCGACAAAUGCCCUGCUUCCAGGAAAAGCCUCUAAGCAUCAGGUAACAUCAAAUCGUACCCCAAACCGACACAGGUGGUCAGGUAGAGAAUACCAAGGCGCUUGAGAGAACUCGGGUGAAGGAACUAGGCAAAAUGGUGCCGUAACUUCGGGAGAAGGCACGCUGAUAUGUAGGUGAAGCGACUUGCUCGUGGAGCUGAAAUCAGUCGAAGAUACCAGCUGGCUGCAACUGUUUAUUAAAAACACAGCACUGUGCAAACACGAAAGUGGACGUAUACGGUGUGACGCCUGCCCGGUGCCGGAAGGUUAAUUGAUGGGGUUAGCGGUAACGCGAAGCUCUUGAUCGAAGCCCCGGUAAACGGCGGCCGUAACUAUAACGGUCCUAAGGUAGCGAAAUUCCUUGUCGGGUAAGUUCCGACCUGCACGAAUGGCGUAAUGAUGGCCAGGCUGUCUCCACCCGAGACUCAGUGAAAUUGAACUCGCUGUGAAGAUGCAGUGUACCCGCGGCAAGACGGAAAGACCCCGUGAACCUUUACUAUAGCUUGACACUGAACAUUGAGCCUUGAUGUGUAGGAUAGGUGGGAGGCUUUGAAGUGUGGACGCCAGUCUGCAUGGAGCCGACCUUGAAAUACCACCCUUUAAUGUUUGAUGUUCUAACGUUGGCCCGUAAUCCGGGUUGCGGACAGUGUCUGGUGGGUAGUUUGACUGGGGCGGUCUCCUCCUAAAGAGUAACGGAGGAGCACGAAGGUUGGCUAAUCCUGGUCGGACAUCAGGAGGUUAGUGCAAUGGCAUAAGCCAGCUUGACUGCGAGCGUGACGGCGCGAGCAGGUGCGAAAGCAGGUCAUAGUGAUCCGGUGGUUCUGAAUGGAAGGGCCAUCGCUCAACGGAUAAAAGGUACUCCGGGGAUAACAGGCUGAUACCGCCCAAGAGUUCAUAUCGACGGCGGUGUUUGGCACCUCGAUGUCGGCUCAUCACAUCCUGGGGCUGAAGUAGGUCCCAAGGGUAUGGCUGUUCGCCAUUUAAAGUGGUACGCGAGCUGGGUUUAGAACGUCGUGAGACAGUUCGGUCCCUAUCUGCCGUGGGCGCUGGAGAACUGAGGGGGGCUGCUCCUAGUACGAGAGGACCGGAGUGGACGCAUCACUGGUGUUCGGGUUGUCAUGCCAAUGGCACUGCCCGGUAGCUAAAUGCGGAAGAGAUAAGUGCUGAAAGCAUCUAAGCACGAAACUUGCCCCGAGAUGAGUUCUCCCUG
RNAcentral lists this ribosomal RNA (2454 nucleotides) under Escherichia coli. Its description in RNAcentral is "partial 23S ribosomal RNA". It matches the Rfam family "Bacterial large subunit ribosomal RNA", at positions 375 to 2817 of the family's 2925-position model. Lineage: Bacteria; Pseudomonadati; Pseudomonadota; Gammaproteobacteria; Enterobacterales; Enterobacteriaceae. The record is from RNAcentral.